AAGUAGUUCGGAUCGCUUUUUGGUUGCAGCUGAGAAAUUCCUGGUUCACCUCAUCUUCCUGGCUCCUGGAAAGCUCGUCGACCCUUCUGGACAGUUUGGGUUCAUUGGCCGGUCGUUUUGCUAAUUGGCAGUGGCAGUGAUAAAUAUACAAUUAAUUACUGGUAGUCGCUAAAGAGCGGGACAUCUGCAGCUUAUUUGGCUGAUAGGAAAAUUAACCAAGGCAUCGGCAAAGGUCGACAAGGCUAAGUCAUCGUUAGAGGUGGCAAUUGGAAACGCAACGUUCAUGGCCCAUCGAAAGCAAAUUAGAACAGUCAAUCAGAACACAGCUACAAGACCAAACAUUACAAUAUCGACCGAGUUUCCAAAUGGAAAUGACGAAGAAGGAAGCGAUGAAGAGCCAUUUUUGGGAUUCCCGGAAAGUGAAACUAAAGGAAGCAGAAAACGAAAAGCAGCGGAAGUUCCUGAAUCGGCAACGGCCGUUCCGAGGCGUUCGAAACGAUUGCGAUUGUCUAAGGUUGAUCCUGAGUACAUUUAUUAUAGUAACUCAUCAUGGCUAUAAGCCGAUCUGAAUCUUAUUUAUUAAGAUAGAUGUUGAUUAGUUUAAAUUGGCUAAUGCCGAAUCGAAAUAGAUUAGUUUAUAAUUAUAAGCAUUAAUUCGUUCGAAUACUGAAUUCAAUUGUAAAUUAUGAACUAAAGAAGGAAGAGCUGUAAUGUAUAACAAUUUUGUUAUGAUACUUUUAUUUGGUUCAGUGUAAAAUCAGCAUAAAUCAAGUAACGCAUCAUAACGCGUUGA
Long non-coding RNA from Malaya genurostris, 793 nucleotides. RefSeq lists it as uncharacterized. NCBI's taxonomy places the organism in Eukaryota, Metazoa, Arthropoda, Insecta, Diptera, Culicidae. The transcript has 3 exons. The record is from RefSeq and is a predicted model, not a curated record.